This is a long non-coding RNA of Oncorhynchus tshawytscha (Chinook salmon), 462 nucleotides long. NCBI's taxonomy places the organism in Eukaryota, Metazoa, Chordata, Actinopteri, Salmoniformes, Salmonidae. The record is from Ensembl.
AGGUACUGAUAGACUACUGAUAGGUACUGAUAGGUACUGAUAGACUACUGAUAGGUACUGAUAGACUGCUGACAGACUGCUGAUAGGUACUGAUAGACUGCUGACAGGUACUGAUAGACUGCUGAUAGGUACUGAUAGACUGCUGACAGACUGCUGAUAGGUACUGAUAGACCUCUGAUUUGUACUGAUAGACUGCUGAUAGACUACUGAUAGACUACUGAUAGGUACUGAUAGACUACUGAUAGGUACUGAUAGACUACUGAUAGGUACUGAUAGACUGCUGAUAGACUACUGAUAGACUACUGAUAUGUACUGAUAGACUACUGAUAGGUACUGAUAGACUGCUGAUAGACUACUGAUAGACUACUGAUAUGUACUGAUAGACUACUGAUAGGUACUGAUAGACUGCUGAUAGACUGCUGAUAUGUACUGAUAGACUACUGAUAGGUACUGAUAGACUGC